RNAcentral lists this long non-coding RNA (357 nucleotides) under Gossypium raimondii (Peruvian cotton). RNAcentral describes it as "long non-coding RNA (GRAI_LNC006381)". Lineage: Eukaryota; Viridiplantae; Streptophyta; Magnoliopsida; Malvales; Malvaceae. The record is from RNAcentral.
AAAAAUAAAAAAAUCAAAAAAAUUUGAGUUGGAAUUUUUUUUUUCUUCCUUGUAUUUAGUUUACUAUUGUAUUGGAUUUAAAAAAUAAAAGAGAAGAAAUUCAGGAAAAAAAAUUCAAAAAAAAUCAAAAAAAGGAAAAAAAAAGUGACAAAAAAUUGAGUUAAAAAAAAAGAAGAAAAAAAAGUGAAAAGUCUUGUGAGUUUUAUUUUGUUAUUAUUUCUUGUUGCUUCUGAGCAUCCAUUCAUUCUACCAUUCCCUCUACCCCCCCAAAACGCCACACAUACUUUGAUUUUUGUUUUCCUUGUUUCAGCCUACCCUAUACACCCUAACGUUAUCCUUUGCACCCAUUUGAAGCCA